Molecule: ribosomal RNA, 253 nt
Filed under: uncultured bacterium
Lineage: Bacteria
Description: partial 16S ribosomal RNA
Rfam family: Bacterial small subunit ribosomal RNA
Source: RNAcentral
UACGGGGGGAGCAAGCGUUGUUCGGAUUUACUGGGCGUAAAGCGCGCGUAGGUGGCCUCAUAAGUCCGUUGUGAAAGUCAAAGGCUCAACCUUUGAAAGCCGAUGGAUACUGUGAGGCUAGAGUACGGAAGAGGCGAGUGGAAUUCCUGGUGUAGCGGUGGAAUGCGCAGAUAUCAGGAGGAACACCGAUAGCGAAGGCAGCUCGCUGGGACGUUACUGACACUGAGGCGCGAAAGCUAGGGGAGCAAACGGG